Molecule: long non-coding RNA, 512 nt
Organism: Maylandia zebra (zebra mbuna)
Lineage: Eukaryota; Metazoa; Chordata; Actinopteri; Cichliformes; Cichlidae
Source: RefSeq, a predicted model, not a curated record
CCUCAAUCAAGGGACUGCAGCAGCUGCAACUGAGCCAGCAGGGGGUGCUUCCUUUCAACAAGGCUACUCCUGAAUAAAUGUUGCAGUUCAACUUUAAGGCCAUCACAGCCUCGCUGAUCUGCAAGGAUGCUGCAAGAACAUUAGCCAAAGCAGGAGGAGGGAGCACAUUCCUCUGAUUCAAACAGUUCAACUGUAGCAGGCUGAAUUUUCUCAACCUGUAAUUUUGGACUAACUAGCAGCACGAGACCUGUGAUCUCAUUUGUAGUUACAAAGCAUUUAUUGUUUACAGUAUAAUUACAUGACAUGAAUAACCCGGCUGUACACAUGGUUAAUGUGUUAAUGCCCUCAAUACCCUGGCUUUUAUUCUGCAAUCACAGACUUAUUCACUUGUCUUAUUUGAUUGUAUAUUUAUUUAUGUUUUAUAUAGUGUAUAUUUUGUAUAACUUGUACAGCACUUUGGUCAAUUAAGGUUGUCUAAAAUGUGAUAUGUAAAUAAAUAAACCUGACUUGGU